AGGGCGGAAAAGGAUCCAGAUGUGGACUUGGAGGGGGUAGGGGGCGGGAAGAGCAGCUGAGAGAGGGGUGGCUGCCGCCUGUCCUAUCCCAAAAUGAGCCCCAAAGUCCGAGCCUCUGGAAUCCUUGGGAGAGUUGGAUGGGACAGCAGAGGCCCCAAAGUGCCAGCCUGCCGGUACCGCUUCACGCGCAACGGAGACUGUGGCUUUUGGGAUUCCCCCCACCCCGAGCUAGCCUGGGACGUAGCCUCAGGGAACAGGAAACUUGCGCCUGUUCUGGCCAAUUGCUCUUAGGGGAGAUGGAAUGCGCCAAUGGGGUGCAGGCCCCAGGCGGUCUCCAAAUUUUCCUGGAGGGCGAGAGUUUCCUGCCCUACCGAACAAAUUCGGGCCCCGCCUCCCCACGACUUCUUACAUUCGGGGCCUUACGCCGGAUAUUUGUACCAAUGGGGCCCCAGAUGAAGCCACUUUAAAAUAUCGAGUGCUUGGUCCUCUCUGCCGCGCUGCCACUCCAGAUUAAGAACCCCCGGUAGAAACAAGAAGAUAAAGCAAACGGAGAAGACAGCCAACUCUGAUGAAAGUCGGUGACCGGUCUUGAUCGCAUCCCUGUUCUCAGUGAAGAGAUGGUGACUGGGGUUUCAGAAUGUUGUGUUCUCCAUCAGACUGGGUAGUUGUUUUUGCUCUUUUUUUGUACUAUAAGGGAUUAUUCUGGAAUGCAAGGCUUGAACAUGAUUCUGUGCUUGUUUUAAGCAUCAAUGAAUCAUUUUUUAAAAUAUGGCCAGCAGUUUUUUCAGGAGGCAUGGGGUAGGGGGGAGGCCUUCACACUGUGUAAGGAACCUCUAGUAUGGAUAUUUCUUCCAGAACCCAUACUAUAGAAGCUUAGAGAAUUUAAGGGGUCAGUAAGAGGUCAAAUGACUUGACCAGGACCAAGCAGCUAGUACAGACAUGGGGGACAUGCAGCCUCAAGGUCCACAUGUGGCCCUCUAGGUCCUCAAGUGCAGACAGAAUGAAUGUCAUUCCCCACCCCUGAGCGAAAUGUCAGAGGCAUGAUUCAAGAUUAAAUCUUCCUGAAGCCCAGCCCACCUUUAUCCACCAAACCCAGUGGUUCUCCAACACUUCCACAGUCAUAGAACCUUUUAGUUUAAACAAAACUUUGACAGAACUUUUGUUCUUUGACAGAACUCUAAAAUUGUUUAAUGCCUAUUAAUGAAUAACAAGGAUGAUGUAAAAAAAAUUGGAGGUGUUUCAGGGUUUUCCAAAGCACUGAUUGCAAACCACCAAAUUAAACUGUGUUGCCCCUCCUGUAAUUUGUAGUCUCAGAAAGUUGUCUGGGUACUGAAUUGUUAAAUGACUUGUCCAGGGUCACAGGAGUAGUAGGUGUUAGAGACAAGUCUUGACUUGAAGGCUUGCCUUCUAUGCCACACUGCCUCUCUCAAACCAGCAGGAAUUGUGGCAACACAUGAGACGUGGAGAACCAUUGUGCUUUUCACGAGCAUCCCUCAUAAUUGUUUUACUAGGAGUGGUCAAGACUUUUGGGCAUUAGAAAUGAGGUGGGAUUGGCUACAGCACAUAGUGUGUCCAUGCCGAAAUCUUUUUGGCUGCCCGUUGGUUGAGAGAGUCCCAGACGGGGAUGCUGAAUUACUGGGCAUUAUUGUGAUCUUUUUGACAUCAGUAUUCCACUGGGGAUGUUGGGUGACUGUGAGUCAUAGGGACUGCACAGUCAUCUCCAAAGCAUAACAACUGGAGACAGGACUUUGUCUUGAAGACUUUCCUAAUCCACAGCACCUUUCAUAAUAUGGUAGUCUCUUCCACAUCUGACAACCUGUCAGUGAAGGAGUUCAUAGAAGAGAUGUCCUUGGGCAAGUGUUGACUGUUCUGAGGUGCUGCAGAUGAGCCAGGGGGUGGGCUAUGGAGCAUGCUUUCUGUUUCACCCAAAUUCUCCCCACCCCCAUGGCUAGCCAAUAUCACUCUCGGUACAGAAUCAGUACUCAAUACUUUCUGGCUCCCUCAUUUUGGUAUUUUUAUUCAGCUGGCAUUUGUGGUCUAACUCUUUACUGAAGUCCCCCUCCCAUGCAUCAUCAUAGUGUGGUGACCAUCAUGGUCCUCUGAGGGGAUUGCUAACGGAAAGCAAGCCCCUGCAGGCUCUACACAGCUGAGGAGGCUUCAGACUCAGGCCCUGGGACGGGUAGCAUAUCUCUUAUCUGGAGGACUAACCUAGCUUCAUACAGGCUUGUCACUAAAAAGGCUGGCCUGUAGGUGAUGAAUUUCUUUUCAGCUUGCGCAAAGUAGGGAACAGAUGAAAUAUACAAGCUAGCACUCUAUCCUGUGCAGUCCCCUGUAUUUCUGUGAAUAUGGCCGUAGUCAACAUGGUAAUAGGUAGUGGUGGUUGCAUUUGAACCCGUGUUUUCUGGUUUGAAAUCAGAGGCAGGAUCAAAAUCUAUAUCAGUGUUCAUGCUCUUGCUUCAGUUCCUCUAGAUUUACUUGCACCAUUGCCUAGAGGGGACCUCUCCUUAGAGGUGUGAUUGAAAACUCAAAUGAAUGCUAAAAUAAAUAAAAUCCCUCUAGCAUA
This is a long non-coding RNA of Phascolarctos cinereus (koala), 2563 nucleotides long. RefSeq lists it as uncharacterized. NCBI's taxonomy places the organism in Eukaryota, Metazoa, Chordata, Mammalia, Diprotodontia, Phascolarctidae. The record is from RefSeq and is a predicted model, not a curated record.